CAGUCGCCGCGGUAAUACGUAGGUGGCAAGCGUUGUCCGGAAUUAUUGGGCGUAAAGGGCUCGCAGGCGGUUUCUUAGGUCUGAUGUGAAAGCCCCCGGCUCAACCGGGGAGGGUCAUUGGAAACUGGGAAACUUGAGUGCAGAAGAGGAGAGUGGAAUUCCACGUGUAGCGGUGAAAUGCGUAGAGAUGUGGAGGAACACCAGUGGCGAAGGCGACUCUCUGGUCUGUAACUGACGCUGAGGAGCGAAAGCGUGGGGAGCGAACAGGAUUAGAUACCCGGGUAGUCCCUGUCUCUUAUAC
Molecule: ribosomal RNA, 301 nt
Filed under: uncultured bacterium
Lineage: Bacteria
Description: partial 16S ribosomal RNA
Rfam family: Bacterial small subunit ribosomal RNA
Source: RNAcentral